AAUCCAUAGGUUAAUGAGGCGAACCGGGGGAACUGAAACAUCUAAGUACCCCGAGGAAAAGAAAUCAACCGAGAUUCCCCCAGUAGCGGCGAGCGAACGGGGAGGAGCCCAGAGCCUGAAUCAGCAUGUGUGUUAGUGGAAGCGUCUGGAAAGGCGCGCGAUACAGGGUGACAGCCCCGUACACAAAAGCGCAUGUGCUGUGAGCUCGAUGAGUAGGGCGGGACACGUGGUAUCCUGUCUGAAUAUGGGGGGACCAUCCUCCAAGGCUAAAUACUCCUGACUGACCGAUAGUGAACCAGUACCGUGAGGGAAAGGCGAAAAGAACCCCGGCGAGGGGAGUGAAAAAGAACCUGAAACCGUGUACGUACAAGCAGUGGGAGCCCCACCACCAAAGCAUUUGCUGUACCGCGUUGACGGAGCGAAGCGACGUCAAACCGAUAAAACAGCAGUGUAAAGUGAGCCGCAGGGCGCUUUGCGCGACAGCGCAAAGGCAGGCGGUUUCGCGUAGCGAAAGCGAAUGCUUUGGGGUGGGGUGAC
RNAcentral lists this ribosomal RNA (537 nucleotides) under Salmonella enterica subsp. enterica serovar Enteritidis. Its description in RNAcentral is "partial 23S ribosomal RNA". The stretch from base 1 to 366 matches the Rfam family "Bacterial large subunit ribosomal RNA", at positions 161 to 565 of the family's 2925-position model. The record is from RNAcentral. Lineage: Bacteria; Pseudomonadati; Pseudomonadota; Gammaproteobacteria; Enterobacterales; Enterobacteriaceae.